UUCAUCUUAGCUCAGUCGGUAGAACGUAUGUCUUUAUAACAUGUGGUCGUGGGUUCGAUUCUCGCAGACAGUGAAG
Molecule: transfer RNA, 76 nt
Filed under: Olea europaea subsp. europaea
Lineage: Eukaryota; Viridiplantae; Streptophyta; Magnoliopsida; Lamiales; Oleaceae
Description: tRNA.Sup
Rfam family: tRNA (bases 5-68)
About the family: Transfer RNA (tRNA) molecules are approximately 80 nucleotides in length.
Source: RNAcentral